AACUUAAAGGAAUUGACGGGGGCCCGCACAAGCGGUGGAGCACGUGGUUUAAUUCGAAGCAACGCGAAGAACCUUACCAGGCCUUGACAUGCAGAGAACUUUCCAGAGAUGGAUUGGUGCCUUCGGGAACUCUGACACAGGUGCUGCAUGGCUGUCGUCAGCUCGUGUCGUGAGAUGUUGGGUUAAGUCCCGUAACGAGCGCAACCCUUGUCCUUAGUUACCAGCACGUUAUGGUGGGCACUCUAAGGAGACUGCCGGUGACAAACCGGAGGAAGGUGGGGAUGACGUCAAAUCAGCACGGCCCUUACGUCCAGGGCUACACACGUGUUACAAUGGCCAGUACAGAGGGCAGCCACCCCGCGAGGGGGCGCUAAUCCUAAAAGCUGGUCCCAGUUCGGAUCGGAGUCUGCAACCCGACUCCGUGAAGCUGGAUUCGCUAGUAAUCGCGCAUCAGCCACGGCGCGGUGAAUACGUUCCCGGGCCUU
RNAcentral lists this ribosomal RNA (485 nucleotides) under uncultured Pseudomonas sp. RNAcentral describes it as "bacterial SSU rRNA". It matches the Rfam family "Bacterial small subunit ribosomal RNA", at positions 898 to 1382 of the family's 1533-position model. The record is from RNAcentral. Lineage: Bacteria; Pseudomonadati; Pseudomonadota; Gammaproteobacteria; Pseudomonadales; Pseudomonadaceae.